GUUUCGUUAGUAAAAGUUUAUUAUAUUAUUUUGAUAAGGUAAAGUUUUUCGAAAUA
Molecule: transfer RNA, 56 nt
Filed under: Dictyocaulus viviparus (bovine lungworm)
Lineage: Eukaryota; Metazoa; Nematoda; Chromadorea; Rhabditida; Metastrongylidae
Description: tRNA-Ile
Source: RNAcentral